UGGUGUCUAACGUGCAUGCGAAGUAGAGGGUCUGCACAUCCAGACCUCUGCGAAAGUUUAAUUCAAAUUAAUUAAGAUUUGAUCUCUAGUUCCUCUACUGAUCAAGUAAGAAUUUGAUCUUUAAUCAUAUAAAUGAAUAAAAAAAUUUUUAGAUACAACUUGGGCCUUUCGAAGAGAAAUAGUUUCCCUUCACUUCAUUUUCAUAUCCUUGUGUUGGUGUUGAGGCACAUUG
This 232-nucleotide long non-coding RNA is filed under the name Elaeis guineensis (African oil palm). RNAcentral describes it as "long non-coding RNA (EGUI_LNC056524)". The record is from RNAcentral. Lineage: Eukaryota; Viridiplantae; Streptophyta; Magnoliopsida; Arecales; Arecaceae.